Molecule: ribosomal RNA, 460 nt
Filed under: uncultured bacterium
Lineage: Bacteria
Description: partial 16S ribosomal RNA
Rfam family: Bacterial small subunit ribosomal RNA
Source: RNAcentral
GACGAACGCUGGCGGCGUGCUUAACACAUGCAAGUCGAACGGACUAUUUCAUUUCGGUGGAGUAGUUAGUGCGGACGGCUGAGUAACGCGUAGGAACGUACCCCAAACUGAGGGAUAAGCACCGGAAACGGUGUCUAAUACCGCAUGUGCUCUUCGGAGUAAAGCUACGGCGGUUUGGGAGCGGCCUGCGUCUGAUUAGCUUGUUGGUGAGGUAAUGGCUCACCAAGGCUUUGAUCGGUAGCUGGUCUGAGAGGAUGAUCAGCCAGACUGGAACUGAGACACGGUCCAGACUCCUACGGGAGGCAGCAGUAGGGAAUUUUCCACAAUGGGGGCAACCCUGAUGGAGCAACGCCGCGUGCAGGAUGAAGGCUUUCGGGUCGUAAACUGCUUUUCUCUGUGACGAUUAUGACGGUAGCAGAGGAAUAAGGAUCGGCUAACUACGUGCCAGCCGCCGCAGUAA